GAUGAACGCUGACAGAAUGCUUAACACAUGCAAGUCUUUGGCGAAGCUGUGCUUGCACAGCCUAGCCAAGGCGGACGGGUGAGUAACGCGUAAGGAACUUGCCCUGCAGUCAGGGAUAACAGACGGAAACGACUGAUAAGACCUGGUAAAGUCAGGCGGACUCAUGUCCAGCCUGAUGAAAAGAGAUGCUGCAGGAGAGCCUUGCGUCCUAUUAGCUUGUUGGUGGGGUAACGGCCCACCAAGGCGAUGAUAGGUAGCCGGCCUGAGAGGGUGGAGGGCGAAAUGGGGGAUGAGAUAGGGCAAAGGCUCCUACGGGAGGCAGAAGUGGGGGAGGUUGCAUAAUGGGCGGAAGGCUGAUGAAGAAACGACGCGGGAGGGAGGAAGGCGGUAGGGUUGUAAACAGGUUUAGCCUGUGACGAAGAGGGAGUGACGGUAAUGGGUAAAGAAGCAACGGCUACAUACGUG
Molecule: ribosomal RNA, 465 nt
Filed under: uncultured bacterium
Lineage: Bacteria
Description: partial 16S ribosomal RNA
Rfam family: Bacterial small subunit ribosomal RNA
Source: RNAcentral